UACGAAGGGGGCUAGCGUUGUUCGGAAUAACUGGGCGUAAAGCGCACGUAGGCGGAAUGUUAAGUGAGGGGUGAAAUCCCGGGGCUCAACCCCGGAACUGCCUUUCAUACUGGCAAUCUAGAGAUCGAGAGAGGUGAGUGGAAUUCCGAGUGUAGAGGUGAAAUUCGUAGAUAUUCGGAGGAACACCAGUGGCGAAGGCGGCUCACUGGCUCGAUACUGACGCUUGAGGUGACGAAAGGCGUGGGAGUCAAACAGGAUUAGAUACCCGUAGUC
This 273-nucleotide ribosomal RNA is filed under the name uncultured bacterium. RNAcentral describes it as "partial 16S ribosomal RNA". It matches the Rfam family "Bacterial small subunit ribosomal RNA", at positions 524 to 795 of the family's 1533-position model. The record is from RNAcentral.